UGAGUACGAGAUGCUACGGCAUCGAAGCAGUCUAUGUCAUACUUCCAAGAAAAGCUUGCAAUGUCAUAAACAAAUAAUGCCUGUACCAUAACCGACACAGGUGGGUAGGUAGAGUAUACUAAGGGGCGCGAGAUAACUCUCUCUAAGGAACUCGGCAAAAUGACUCCGUAACUUCGGGAGAAGGAGUGCCUUAUUUUUAUAAGGUUGCAAUAACAAGAUCCAAGCAACUGUUUACCAAAAACACAGGUCUCCGCUAAGUCGUAAGACGAUGUAUGGGGGCUGACGCCUGCCCAGUGCCAGAAGGUUAAAGAAGUUGGUUAGCAUUAGCGAAGCUGAUAACUGAAGCCCUGGUGAACGGCGGCCGUAACGAUAACGGUCCUAAGGUAGCGAAAUUCCUUGUCGGGUAAGUUCCGACCCGCACGAAAGGCGUAAUGAUUUGGAUACUGUCUCGGAGAGGGGCUCGGUGAAAUAGACUUGUCUGUGAAGAUGCGGACUACCUGCACCUGGACAGAAAGACCCUAUGAAGCUUUACUGUAACUUGAGAUUGAAAUUGGACUUUAUCUGCGCAGUAUAGGUGGGAGACGUUGAAAAUAUUCUUGCGGGAAUAUUGGAGUCAUCAGUGAGAUACCACUCUUAUAAUGUUAGAUUUCUAACUUUGUAUCAUUAUCUGGUCAAAGAACAGUUUCAGGCGGGCAGUUUGACUGGGGCGGUCGCCUCCCAAACGGUAACGGAGGCGCACAAAGGUUUCCUCUGAACGUGUAGAAAUCGUAUCUAGAGUGUAAAGGCAUAAGGAAGCUUGACUGUGAGACCUACAAGUCGAGCAGGGACGAAAGUCGGUCUUAGUGAUCUGACGGUGCUGAGUGGAAAGGCCGUCACUCAACGGAUAAAAGUUACUCUAGGAUAACAGGCUGAUCUCCCCCAAGAGUUCACAUCGACGGGGAGGUUUGGCACCUCGAUGUCGGCUCAUCGCAUCCUGGGGCGGUAGUACGUCCCAAGGGUUGGGCUGUUCGCCCAUGAAAGCGGUACGCGAGCUGGGUUCAGAACGUCGUGAGACAGUUCGGUCCAUAUCCGGUGUAGGCGUUAGAAUAUUGAGAGGAGCCUUCUUUAGUACGAGAGGACCGAGAAGGACAUACCUCUGGUGUACCAGUUAUCGUGCCAACGGUAAACGCUGGGUAGCCAUGUAUGGAGAGGAUAACCGCUGAAAGCAUCUAAGUGGGAAGCCCACCUCAAGAUAAGUAUUCUC
Molecule: ribosomal RNA, 1243 nt
Filed under: metagenome
Description: bacterial LSU rRNA
Rfam family: Bacterial large subunit ribosomal RNA
Source: RNAcentral